UGCAAACAAAGAAGAAAUAACUCAUUAAGUGGUGAACCUCUGACCCUGGAUCAAAGUCACUGACCUGAUGCUACAGUAGCCUUUGCCUUUACUGUGGAGGCUGUGAGCCGAGUGAGAACUGGCCCACAACUGCCUCCACAGCUCCUGUCACUGAGGCUUUAUAUGGCUGCCUGCAGCUGUGGAGAGCUUGAUGCUCCUGUGAGAUCAUGUGAUGCUUGAAUUAAAAAUUUCCAGGUACUGUACAAACAAAAGAGAAAAGGAUCUGCCCAAAUCUCCUGCUGUUGGCUGCCGGUGAGGUCCCAACCCUGCAAGGUGCCAGCCAUGCUGGUAGGGGAUUGAUAAGAAGACUGGGGCGUCCUGGGAACUGAGGAUUUCAAGGUCAAUUGGUCAUGUCUGCUGUCUGGAACAGCCCCAGCAUUGCCAUUAUCUAUCCCCCAAUGAACCUGUUGGUGGCUGCAGCUACUGGAGGUUGGGAGCUUGGGCAUCCAAGCUUAAGUACCCAAUAGACCUCUCCAGACAUCCUGGUGAACAAAUGUCAAAAUGCCAUGCAUAUGUGGGCAUAAGUUUGACUGUUUAAAAGGUAGAGUCUAAUCCCAAAUGGUAACUAGAUAUGAGUUGCAUUAGAGACCCCUUGGAGCCCAGGAGGAGUUUGUAAGAUGGUGGGUGUUGAAGCUAUUAUGAGAUGAUGGUGUUUCCAGAGACAUAAUGGGGAUCAAGGGGAGCCAACAGAGACAAAGACCCUCAUUGUUCACAUCUCAGCCUUGGAUUCAUCUUACCCAUCUUAUUGGUUAUGUUGUUAACAUAAGUAACUAGAGAUAUGAUGUUACUUGAGUCACUAGUGUGUGUUAGCAGGAAACCAGGGGCAUGCUGAUACUUGAAGUUCUUGUAGUUGACCCCUGACUCUGGGAUAAGAGUAAAACAUUCCUCAAAAACUCUCAUAUAAGUUAGAAUGACCAAGUGUAGACUGGAUGGCAUAGCUCUGUGUGGUAGAAGACUUAGUUCUCUUUUGGUUUUACGAGAAGAUGUUGCAAGAUGGAUAGUAUCAUCUCUGGUAAAUAAAAGUGUAUUUUUUCAUAAGACUCCCAUGUCAAUAAGUACAGAAUGCCAAAUUGCUUGUUGAAGGCAUUUGGGAAUGUGAAGGAAAGCUAGACCUUUCAAAGAAUUAAGACACAAAUCUUACUUUAAGCUUGGAUGAAAGAAUAUUUCUCUCUUUUCCACCUGUUUUUUUUUUUCCCCAAAUCUGUGUACUCUUAUCAAGAUAGAAAAUGUAACUUUUUGAUUGUUUUCUCAUCUUCUGCAGAAUGUAUGUCGUGAAGUGACUAGUAAUGUUAAACAAACUACCUGAUAUAAAUAGGUAGUUUCACAAUUUUUUUCCCAACUGAGUUAUUACAGGGAAAUGGUUGAGUAGUUUCUGAUUGUACAUUUAAAUAAUGUACAGAGAGCAGCUUGAAAAAUUCACUCUUAACUAGUAAAAUUUGCUGACAUUGUAAGCAAGGGAUAGACUUAUAAUAAGAUAAUACAUUUUUUUUCUUGCAACAUAACAAAAAUAGAACUGAAAUGGAAGUUAUUGUAGAGGGAGAGAAGUAGAAUAUGUAUCAGAAUCACUGCUUCUAUAAAUGGUGAAAAAUAUGCAAAAUCAUACUUAGGUGUGAUCUGUUAUUGCAUCAAUAUCCGACAUGGAAUAUAAAAAAUGGCUUUUAUAAAACUUUUCUUAUAAAAGUUUUCUGUGACUUUUUUUUUCUUCCAUUCAAAUUGCUGUGGAUACAGAUCUUAUAACGGGGUGGGGAGGUUUGAUUUUGAGGGGUACCUAAAGUCGUGUAGGUACUGAUAUGAGUGACCCUGAGAUUAGCUCAGUUAGGUGGAGCAUGGUGCUAAAAACACCAAGUGUGAGGCUGCACAAACAUCUGGCGUUGCCCCAUCCCAGGACAGAAUCCAGCAUUUCCCCUUUUUGAACUUCAUAUGGUUGGUAAUUGCCCAGUCUUCUAAUUUGUUGAGGUCUGUCUGUAGGGCCUCCCUGCCUUCGAAGGAGUCAACAGCUCCUCCCGGUUUUCUGUCAUCUGCAAACUUGCUUAGUGCCCCUUCCAGUUUGACAUAUAUUCAAAAGAGAUUAGAAAGUUUUCAAUUGGUGAAUUUUCUAAAUUUUGUGUAAACAUCUAGUAAGAACAUUAAGGCGUCUAACCAAAUGCUUAAUGCCGUAAUGUCAAGAACUCCCUAAACUGCAGACUACUGAAAGUUAAGAAAAUUCAGGAAAGAAGUAUGAUCUUUAAUACAUCAGUCUUUUCAUCUCUACUGUACUGUGUCUAUUUGAGAUAGAAGGGGUUUUUUUGGUUGAUUGGUUGGUUUUGGUUUUUUUUUCAGUAGCAGGCUAUAUGGUGUUUUGAAUUUGUGAUUGAAACACUGUUGGCAACACACUAAUGUUUUGGCUAUUGCUGUGUAUUUCUUGCCCAUUAUCAAGGUUUUCUCUUUUUCUCACUCUCUUCCCUCAACUUCU
Long non-coding RNA from Pseudopipra pipra, 2491 nucleotides. RefSeq lists it as uncharacterized. Lineage: Eukaryota; Metazoa; Chordata; Aves; Passeriformes; Pipridae. The record is from RefSeq and is a predicted model, not a curated record. The transcript has 3 exons.